CGGCCGCGGUAUCCUAACCGUGCGAAGGUAGCGUAAUCACUUGUUCUUUAAAUGAGGACUAGUAUGAACGGCUUCACGAAGGCUAUACUGUCUCCCUUAUCUAAUCAGUUAAACUAAUCUCCCCGUGAAGAAGCGGGGAUUCACAUAUAAGACGAGAAGACCCUAUGGAGCUUAAAACACCUCUAAACAUUUGACCUCCACACUACUAUUUUCAGAAAUCUUCACAAAGCCCGUCAUUUUGUUUUAAGUUUUAGGUUGGGGUGACCGCGGAGAAUAACCUAACCUCCACGUAGAAAGAACUUUCUUUUCUAAGCAAAAAGCUACAUCUUUAUGCAUCAACAUAUUGACCUAAUUGACCCAAUUAUUUGAUC
RNAcentral lists this ribosomal RNA (371 nucleotides) under Allobates sumtuosus. Its description in RNAcentral is "partial 16S ribosomal RNA". It matches the Rfam family "Bacterial large subunit ribosomal RNA", at positions 1928 to 2433 of the family's 2925-position model. The record is from RNAcentral. Lineage: Eukaryota; Metazoa; Chordata; Amphibia; Anura; Aromobatidae.